UGACGAACGGGUGAGUAAUAUAUCGGAACGUGCCCAGUCGUGGGGGAUAACGUAGAGAAAUUUACGCUAAUACCGCAUACGAUCUAAGGAUGAAAGCGGGGGACUCGCAAGAGCCUCGCGCGAUUGGAGCGGCUGAUAUCAGAUUAGGUUGUUGGUGGGGUAACUGCCUACCAAGGCUACGAUCGGUAGCUGGUCUGAGAGGAUGAUCAGCCACACUGGGACUGAGACACGGCCCAGACUCCUACGGGAGGCAGCAGUGGGGAAUAUUGGACAAUGGGCGAAAGCCUGAUCCAGCAAUGCCGCGUGAGUGAAGAAGGCCUUCGGGUUGUAAAGCUCUUUUGUCAGGGAAGAAACGGUGGGGGCUAAUAUCCUCUGCUAAUGACGGUACCUGAAGAAUAAGCACCGGCUAACUACGUGCCAGCAGCCGCGGUAAUACGUAGGGUGCAAGCGUUAAUCGGAAUUACUGGGCGUAAAGCGUGCGCAGGCGGUUGUGCAAGACAGAUGUGAAAUCCCCGGGCUCAACCUGGGAAUUGCAUUUGUGAC
RNAcentral lists this ribosomal RNA (543 nucleotides) under uncultured Burkholderiales bacterium. RNAcentral describes it as "bacterial SSU rRNA". It matches the Rfam family "Bacterial small subunit ribosomal RNA", at positions 96 to 633 of the family's 1533-position model. Lineage: Bacteria; Pseudomonadati; Pseudomonadota; Betaproteobacteria; Burkholderiales. The record is from RNAcentral.